Molecule: ribosomal RNA, 443 nt
Filed under: uncultured bacterium
Lineage: Bacteria
Description: partial 16S ribosomal RNA
Rfam family: Bacterial small subunit ribosomal RNA
Source: RNAcentral
CCUACGGGUGGCAGCAGUGGGGAAUAUUGGGCAAUGGGCGCAAGCCUGACCCAGCAACGCCGCGUGAAGGAAGAAGGCUUUCGGGUUGUAAACUUCUUUUGGCAGGGACGAAGCAAGUGACGGUACCUGACGAAUAAGCCACGGCUAACUACGUGCCAGCAGCCGCGGUAAUACGUAGGUGGUAAGCGUUAUCCGGAUUUAUUGGGUGUAAAGGGCGUGUAGGCGGGAAUGCAAGGCAGAUGUGAAAACUAUGGGCUCAACCCAUAGCCUGCAUUUGACACUGUAGUUCUUGAGUGCUGGAGAGGCAAUCGGAAUUCCGGGUGUAGCGGUGAAAUGCGUAGAUAUACGGAGGAACACCAGUGGCGAAGGCGGAUUGCUGGACAGUAACUGACGCUGAGGCGCGAAAGCGUGGGGAGCAAACAGGAUUAGAUACCCCUGUAGUC